AAGACUCUGCUUGACUAGCUGAGAGGAGGUGCAUGGCCGUCGUCAGUUCGUACUGUGAAGCAUCCUGUUAAGUCAGGCAACGAGCGAGACCCGUGCCCACUGUUGCCAGCAUGUCCUUCGGGACGAUGGGUACUCUGUGGGGACCGCCGAUGCUAAAUCGGAGGAAGGUGCGGGCUACGGUAGGUCAGUAUGCCCCGAAUCUCCCGGGCUACACGCGGGCUACAAUGACUGGGACAAUGGGCUCCUACCCCGAAAGGGGAUGGUAAUCUCAUAAACCCAGCCGUAGUUCGGAUCGAGGGCUGCAACCCGCCCUCGUGAAGCUGGAAUCCGUAGUAAUCGCGUUUCAACAUAGCGCGGUGAAUACGUCCCUGCUCCUUGCACACACCGCCCGUCAAACCACCCGAGUGAGGUAUGGGUGAGGGCAUGGACAUUGUGCUGUGUUCGAACCUAAAUUUUGCAAGGGGGGUUAAGUCGUAACAAGGUAGCCGUAGGGGAAUCUGCGGCUG
RNAcentral lists this ribosomal RNA (506 nucleotides) under uncultured candidate division WWE3 bacterium. RNAcentral describes it as "bacterial SSU rRNA". It matches the Rfam family "Archaeal small subunit ribosomal RNA", at positions 962 to 1467 of the family's 1478-position model. Lineage: Bacteria; candidate division WWE3. The record is from RNAcentral.